GAACUUCUGAAAUUUAUGUCUUCUAAAUAAAAACUGUGCGUACACUAUAGCUAUUAGCUGAAUUACCUUUUUUACCUAACCUAACAAGUCAAAGAUUUGUUUUUUGACGAAAGAGAGUCAAAGGUUUGUUUUAUGUUAAAAGGUAAAAAUGUUUUCCUAGUCAAAAGUUUCUCGUUAAAAAAAAAAAAAAAGUUUCUCGUUAGUUGUUAUUUUAUAAGCUACCAUUUUCAACCGAUUUAACCACUUUACCGUUGCAUACUUUCAGGAGUAUUUUUGUAAUGAUUUUGUAUAGACAACUUUUUUUUUUGUUCCACAAAUUCUUGAAACAAUCAGCUAAGGUAACAAAUCAUGAAAGAUCUCCGAACUAAUUAUAUUUGAAAGAUUGUGUUAUAGUCACAUCACGUCUUAUAUUUGUAUAUGUAUGCAUAUGUAUAUGUGAGAAAUUUACCUAAUUACUACGCUAAUUUAUGCAAAAUUUGUGGUUCAUGAUCCCAAUUCUCCGACAAAUCUAAGUAUUAACGUCAUUUUUAUUUCACAUCUGUUCACAAAAGACGACAAACUCCUUUUUAAGAAUUUUGAUUUAAUUUAUGUUGAAUUCUGUACUAAUUACGCUUUUUUUUUGUUGCCAAAAAUCGCUUUACUUUAUUGUGUCCUUAUUGCCACAUUAAUAAGCAAGAUUCGUGUGAUACUGCCACUUGAUAUUUCAACAAAGAGUUUCUUAUGUUUCAUAAUGUAGAGAUAUGAAAAAAAGUUACAAAUAUAUAUAUUUACCUAUAGUUUCUACUUUUUGGUCGUUAAUAUUUGUUUCCUUUGUAGUUUUAUUUAUAACUAAUGUAUAUGUUGGUAUAGUUGAUUAGUUGUUAACAAAAUUUCAUGUGAGUGUAAGAUAUGUAGGUUUAUAUUAACCGUUUAAAUCAUCAACUUCGUUUUAGUCAAAGGUGGUAAUUCUAUGCUUUAAAUGUUUAACCAAAAAUUCAAAGGUGAAAAUGAUAUAUAUCUCGGUUGUCAUAACAUAUACUUGGGAAUAAUACAUUUAUACAUAAACCAAAUAUGUACACAGUACACACUCGCAUCUAUAAUAGAAAGAUUAAAAGUAAAUAGUUAGCCGAAAUCUGAUAUAUUUAUUAUAAAUUCAUAAUUAAAGCUUAAUGGUUGCAUGCAUGACGUUAAACAAAAAGAGGGUCAAAAUAUGAACCCUAGCUAGCUAUGAUUUGUGAAUAUAUAAUAUAUAAGAAACAUAUAUAUAAUAGAUAAUUAAGCAACACCCUGAUUGAGCAACCUCUCAACGAGAUUGUAAACAUAUAUAUAUAGAGGACAACUACUCAAUAUAUCUCUUAAUUAAUUAUCCAUUAAUCAAGCUCCUAAUAACGGCUGCUUGGGGGCUGUUAGGAUCAAUGGUGUCCAAAAGCUGAGUCAAUCGAUCACUGAGGUCAUCGGCUUCCUUGUUCAAGUUUCUUAUGUAGUUGCAAGUCUCUUGUAACACUUUCGACGCUGAUACCUACAUACAUUUUUCAAAGUUAUACAUUAUCUGUAGAGUAAAAUUUUAUAUAAUAUAUAUAUAUAUAUAUAUAUAUAUAUAUUUAUUUUUUAAAAUAUAAACAUCUAUAAACGAGUCUUAGCUUGAAGUUAUGAUGCUAAUGGCUUGACAUAUAACAAAAUGCGAUCUCUAAGAAAAAAGCUUUUAGAUAAAUGCUCUCAUAACUUGUCAAAAAAACUAGCACAUUGUUUUUGAAAUUGAGAACCAAUUUGAUUGGUUGUAUGUACUAUAAGAAAACGAGACUUCCAUUUAUAGUAACCGGCUUUUUCUUAAAUUUCUAGUGUUUCGUCCUUUUCUUGUUUUAUAACUAAGAAAUAUAUUUAAAAAAACUAAGUCGGUGCUGUACAUAAAUGUAUUGAAUUGAUAGUCCGUGAAGCAAUAUAGUCGUCUCACAUUGAAUGUAAUUAAUCAAUGAUAAAAGCAAACUUAGUUAGAACUUAUAGAAGCUUAAUGCUGAAGUUAGGGGAAAUAUGUUCCCCUCUCCUCAAAGUCCGGUUAAUGGUCAAAAGUAUUUUUAGAAACUUCAAAAUGCACUCUCCCACACGUAAAUCGAUAUAUAUAUAUAUAUAUAUAUGACUAUAAUGCACUAUUCCAGCAUGUUGUAUAUUUGUUUUCUAUAGUAUUAAACAUAGUAACUAUUAACUAACCCUAUUUUAAUAUCAUGAAUUCAAACUUAUAUGACUACGCCGAACCUUCUUAGUACAUACUACAUAUCUAGAUGACUAUACGGUAAAUUUUCUAAAGAUUUUUACCGUGCUGGAACGACGGUUCUGGCGAAUCUCCGGAAUGGACUGCCCGAGCUUUGAGAUGAGAUCAGCGAUCUGAUCAUCGCUAAUUCUUGAUGAUGAGCUUGCUUGCCUCGACCUUCUGCUAGACGACAUUUUGAUUUGGAGAAAUAUGUUAAAAUAUUCUUAUAUAUGAAUCCAAGAACGCGGGCUCACUUGUAUUGAUGGCUUGUGGGUUAGAAAGGAAGUAUAAUUGUUCGUGCUUGUCGAAAGAAAGGGAGAAGGAAGAAGGAGAAGAAAUAUGGUGUUAUAUAGAGAGCUAGGACCACACUUAUAGAGAGAAAGAGAGAACGAGAGAGAGAGAGUAAUGCAAAUAAACUUAGGGGCUCGUAUUGGUUUCUGCUUUAUAUAUAGAGUUUUAAUGAGUUUAAAUGUAACAUAGAUUCUAUUGUUAUUCGAUUAACAUUUUAUUAAACUCUUUUAAAGUUUAGUGUUAUUAGUUAUUGAUUUUAAAAAAGCCAUUUUAAAUCUUCAUAAAUAUGAGGUUAUUGGAUUCAAAUUUUUAUCAAACCGUUAACUUUUUUGUUAUUCAAUUAAAAAAAAAAAUCUCUAACUAUUAAUGAAUUAAAUAAUUAGGUUAUUGGUUUAUGAUUUUAAACACUUUUCUUUACAAAAUGAAGUCAUGAAAAUAUCAUCAAAAUAGACUUUACAAAACUAUAAAAAUCUAACUAACAAUAUUACAAAAAACUCUCUAACAAUCUCUUAGAAUAUUUUAUUAUUAUACAAUUUAUGGUUUUAUCAAAAUUAUCUGAAGUCUAUAUAAAUUAGAAUCCAAUAACAUCCUCUUAAAUAUGGGUGUUGGAUAUGACAAAGACAAGUGCAUAAGAGAGAACAGUGGUUUAGAAUGGAGUAUUGGAUACAAGACACGUGAAUUUACAAUUGAUCAGAUUGUGAUGUAUAUAAUAUCAUAUUUGCUUUGUUUCAAUAAAAACUUUGUUUGUAUUUUUACUUUUUAUUUUUAUUUUUAUAUCAGUUAUCUCAUUUUAUCACUAUACUUAGAAGAUAAUUUAUGUAGUUUUUAAUUUAUGUGAAACAUGUAAAAAUAAUACUUUUAGUGAAACAUAGAAGUAUGUCUAAUAUCAAAUAUUAUAACUAAUUAUCUAGUACUAUAUAUUGAUGAUCAUUUUUGGUAAAUUACUUUAAAUUAAAUUUUAUUACAUAUUACAUAAUUGCAAAAUAAUUUAGAGUGGAAAACAAAAUUCAUAAAGGACAAUAUGAAAAGAAAGAGUCAAUCCAAUUUAUACUUAUUUGCUUAGAAAAAAGACAUCACGUCAAAACCAAUAAACAUAUUGCUGAUAUUUUUAAUUUUAAUUUCUUAUAUUCACAAAAACCUAUAUUAUUUCUAUUGAAAAUUACAUUAAUAUAUAGAUAUACAGAUAUAUACAUAUAUAUAUAUUCUUAUUACUGUACAUCUAUUUUUUGUAUUGAAACAACAUUAUUAUAAAUAAUAAUAAGAAGAAGAAUAAGAAUACCACUUAGUUAUAUAUAACACAUCCUUUUAAUUUAUAAUACAUAUUCAUAUUUUAAGAGCAUAAACAGUAAGGUUAGUCUGUGAAAUCCGAAGUUUAUGGUUGGUGGAUUAUUGAUAAUGUUUUUGUGGAUGUAAUUUUGUGCGGAUUGGUUCGGUAAAAAAUAUGUAAAACAAACUAUAAAUUACGUACAUCCUUAAUAGCUGCACUAGCUUUACUUAAUCCUUGAGGUGAGAGUUUUUGAGAAGGUAUCAUUAUCUUUAAGACCAAAGGAAGACCACAAUCCAGAAAUUCGAAUUAUCUUGAUCAUAAUUUGUAAUUGUCAUGUGCCAAAACUGUUGAGGUCAUAGAGAAACUAAUAUUUACUGAAGUGGGAAGCUAUUUCUGAUUUCAACCAAUAAUAAAACAAUGAACAUUAAAACAUCAUCACGUGAUUUUAUCUUAUUAUAGUAGCUAGUGUAACGCUUUGAAUAUAUCAUUAUUUUGUGGUGGAUGCAUGAUGAUACGUUAAACUAAGAAGAUUUUGUGUAUCAGUUAUAUAGAUACGGGUAAAUAAAAACAAUGGACUUAGGUCAAUUUGAGAGGAACGUACGGUAUCUAUCCUAACCAAUAGGGAGGGGCUAGUCUCCCCAAACUCUUUCACGUGUACCUCAAAUACAUAUAGUGUAUGCUUAUUUAUGUAAUGCCUUAGUCAAAUCCACCAAACCCAAUAUUUUUCGAGCUUGCUCUAGCUAAGACGACGUAGACUUGGUAAUUUCCAAACUAACAAACAUAUAUAUUAGUGUUUCCAAGUUACUAUGAAUGUUAUGUUGGUCAUAAUUAACAACAAAACAUUUGUUGGAUCUAAACACAUGAUGAUGAUAUGCAAAAGAUAUGAAUGAUGAUAAGUAGAUGCAUGAUAUAUAUUAGAAAACAAGGAGAUGGUGUGAUAAACUGGACAUUAAAGAAAAAUGUUUGCUGAUGAGCACACACAGGUGGGACUAUUUAUGUUUUAAUAAUAUAUUUCUGUAAGUUAAAAAUUGUUAUAAAAUAGAAACCAGUGUUAACCUCCCAUGUGAUGAUAGGACACUCUUUCUCCCCUCUAAUCAGGGAGCAUGAGCAUCCCCAUCCUUCACGCCCCCUCCCACAUGACACCUCUCUCUCUCUCUCUCUUUUCUCUGUGUUUUCUCUUUUCUUACAUCUAUGUAUCUUCAUAGAACUCUAAAAACGCUUAGGAUAGAAUAAGAAACUAAGAACUUGAACCAAUACAUUCACUUGUCAAAUGUUUUCAAAUCAAAGCCUCGUAAAUCAUAACAAUAUCCAAAAGUAUAUUAUGCUUUUCUAUUCUUGGGACACUUGUUAUUUGCAAGAGUCUUUCAAUUUUCUAGAGCAAACCAACAAUCAUUUGUAUAAAAUAAAAAUAUAUAACCGAGCAUGUUGGAUAUCAUCAAUUCUCUAGACACAACUACUGCAUGCUACCCUAAGUCACAAGGCAUUGGAUAAAAAUAUAUAUUAUCCAAGUACUGACGUGGCAAGUUGUAAAUGUUCAGAACAUAGAAGAAGGAUCUUUUUUACUCAGUAUAUAUAUAUAUCCAAAUUUUGAUUAGAGCUUUUGUCUAAGAUUUGAGGCAGGACUACAUUAACAUGUCAAAAUAGUAGCUACUAGAGAGAUUAACUAAUGAAUCUUAUUAUCUUAAAAUUUUUCGAUAGAUAUGAUAAAAGGCCAAAUCAUCAAAGAGAGGGACGGGUGUUCUUGGAAAUGUAGACAUUGAUUGUGAAUGCUUGUCUGCGUCUGUUUGUAUUCUAAAUGUCUAUCGAAUAUGUACCACACCAUAUUUUCUUCAUUUUUUGUUUCUUAUAUUUAUUUUCUUCAUAUUCUUGAUUUUGUGUCUCGAAUUUAAAUCGUAGGUUUCUUGUAACCAACGACACGCUCCUGUCAUAAUAAUUUGACAUAUACUUAUGUCUCCGAUCUCUGUAUCUAUAUUUUGUGUUUGUAAUAGUUCUUGGUACUUAUCACUUAUGCUAAUUAUGCUUGGAAUGUAUAUGCUAAAACGUCGAUCGUCCAGGGUUUUAUUUGUGAGCUGGUGGUUUACACUACGAUGCCUUGCUCCUCAACACAUGUAAAGGGUUGAUCAAUUUCAAUUUCCUCAAACUAUAUAUAGAAGUGUCAACAAACAAAAAUAAGUAGAGAAGAGGUAACAAAAUGAAUUACAAAGUAUAACAAUAAUCCGACUUGCCUAAUUAAACCACUAUGAACAAAGAAGUAAGCUUCACAGUACACAAAUAAAUAAGAAUAACUAAUGACGUUAACAUUAUAAUCCAAAUAUAGCAUUAACCUUGUAUAUACACAUGUAUGUAUAUAAAAUAAUAAAUCACAAAACUAUUUAUAUCCAUAAAAUGAUUUUGAUACAAAUGUAAACAAAUAAAAUUAGCCAACUCGUAAACGACUCUGUUGGCCCACGAGAUUUUUUAACCUUUCAACCUCGUUCGUACGGCAGAGUGAAGCCGACAGGCCUAUUCUCUUUUACAGACUAGAAAAACUAACUUUAUUAACCCAAGUCCUAUCCUAUCCUAUCCAUUGGUGGACUAAUCCAGAUCAAUCCACAAAUUUAUAUAUCUCUUCUCACACUGAGGUAUCCAUCUAUUUGAUAAGUUCGCUAAGCAUUAAAUCAAAGAUUAGGUUUUCUUCCAUAACUGAGUAAGUAAAAUCCAUAAAGCCAAUCUCUCAAGUAAUAAUAGCUAACUUAAAGCUAUCAUCAACUAUCUUGGCCAGACUUGUCCAUACACAUCCUUCUUCGUGUAGCCUCCUCGGUCCCAUGACCAUGGAACAUCUGGAAAUAUCACAGUGCCAGUAAAAGCAUUAAGGACCAGCGAAAGAAAGAAGUUAUAUUAUCUUGGAGAAUGAAUAGGCAAAAAACCUUCUGGUGAGUAAGGCGUAGGAGGUAGUUGAUAAGGAAUUGGUAAUGAGAUUAUCUCAGGCGAAUCUCUGUCUCCUUGCCAGCUCAUUGUCACUAGCUUACUCCUCUUCUCUACCUCGUCUUUCGUCUCUUGUUUUGCCUGUCAACAUAAGAUCAUUGGGAGGGAUAAAUCAAAGUUUGGGUCCGGGUUUAUUGGCUAAGGAAUAGAUCAUUUUACCUUCACUACACUUGUAUUGUUCUCGGUGCACGGAAAUUUACAACCUUGUGCUUUCGUUGGAGAUGGUAGGAACAAGACGCCCAACUAACAUCAUUAUCGUCAAUGGAAAUUGGUCAGUAGUUAUAAGACAUCCAAGGCUUUGCAUGAAACACAGGAGUUUACCUCGUAGGAACGUAUCAUCAAUUGGGAAUUGUUUUUCUGAAGUGCUCCCCAAGCCGCUUUGCUAAGGUUCGAUGAGGUUAGCAAGAACCAUCUAUGGAGCAAAACAAGAACUGAUCAGUAAAGGUUCAUAUUUUAUUAAUUGAGUAAUCAGAUAUUGAGACUUUAUGAACUUUACGCAAGCUUCUGGUCGCUGUAACGUGUGAAUGUCUUUAUAUGUGGCAUUGCACGACUGUAAAAUUAAAAAGGAUCAGAAUUGAGUAGUAAUCAUAAGCUGUAUUUGUAAAUGUUUGGUUUUUUAAAGUUACCAGCGAGCACUAUGAUUGGCUUUCCAUUUAGCCCAAUAUUUUAUUAAGAAUGGUUUCUCCACGUUCUUCAAUGGGCUCGGGAUUGCAUUGCCAGCAGCAUAACCCUUUGUUUGAAGAUUUCACGUCUUAUAAGACAAAACGAUAAGAUAUACAAAGAAAUAUGAAAUCUUUAUUCAAAUUACCUCUAGAGAACACCUGACAUCUUCUACAGUAGGCCAUAUUAUCAACGGAUCCCCUGGACCAAGAGGAGUUUUGUCCUCUGUAAGACCAGAAGACAAAGAAUCUCUAAAUUCAGCCAACCACUUCUCGUCCAAAGAACCAAGUGAAGAAAACUACAAUACGAAAAGAUUGAUAAAGAAGACUUUUGGCAAGCAAUACAAUAGCAAAAAACAACUUGGAAUGGAACACUACCUGAUAAACUAAAGGGGAUCUGCGGAACUCUCUAUCAAAAAUGUAUUCUUGAAGGAUAGUUCGUAGCUUCAUGUGUCCCCAUUUAUUCAAGUUCAAACCAGUGUGGUAUCCAGGGACCGAUGCAAUUAGACGAACCUGGAAUUUUUUUUUAGAUAUCUUAGUAAACAAUAAGUAUACAAAUCAGCCAAAAUAUUUAAGAGAAACAGAAGGUACCGUAGCGUUGGAAUAAUCAAACUUUUUGAAGAAGGCUGCAUUGAUCUUCAUAUUACCACGACCAGGUAAGCUUGCAGUAAACUCAGGCCACUUAAGAACAUUGAGGUAAUCGAUAAGAUCACCUUCGAAUCCACAACCUUUAGGUGAAUCUUUGUCAUCAUCUUUCCAAGGGAAAUCUUGCAUCCACAAACCUUGGCUUUUGUUGUUCCAAUCAACAUGGAUCAGAUUUGCAGUGUGUACAACAACUCUCACACCUCUUGGAUAGACAAGAAAUAUAGCUUUCGAAUGGUGUGUCCCAAAUGAAAUAGGUAACCGGGGCUUAUGAAGACUCCAAUUAGCUGGCUUUUUCCUCUGAUAAACAAAACAGAGAUUGGAGAUUUCUGUCUACCAUUAACAUCAAUCAAAAGAAAUCAGCAAACCGUCAUAACAAACCUGUAUAUACUCUUGCCUACCAUCACCUUCUCCAUGGAUGACCAUAACCUGAGGAAUGUUGGCCAGUUUCGGGCAAGCUACAAAAGGAUAUAUACAGUGAACCAAGUUAAGUUAUCUGAACAGACUCGAGACAACCAAAAACAGAACAACACUAGCUUAGUUACCCCAGAAAUGUACCAGAAAUGUACUUAUCGUUUCGAUAAACUCAACAAACAAAAUCCGAGAAAAUUCACCUGACAUCAACCAGUCUAUAUCGACCAUAUAAUUCGAUAGGAUUGCAGCAACAACGUCUCCCUGUCAUAAUACAAACAAAUCUUUAGUCAAAGAUGUCUGAAUAAAACAAUUAACUAACAUGUUUUUCAUAAGACUAACCUCAAUGACAUCAUUAAUGGAAACACAAGAGGUAUUAGCCCAAUCAGGCAAUCCAUUAACACUCAAAAGCCUAAACGUUGAAGGCAGUUUCUCAUCAGGUGGAACAAAUCGACGAAUCGCCUCUACAUCAUCAUCAUUGACUCCUUGUGCUUCACCCUAAAAGAGUUUCAUCAAAUCAAACAAAGCCUCAAGAAACAAUAAGAAAAAACCUGCAUUCUUAAGUUAGGCCAAGUAAGUAAGUAACCUUUCGAGCUUUCUUAGCAGGUGUUUCAUGGCUCCCUCUGCUUUCAGUGGAUAGCAAAACUAGCUUAAAGAAAUGAUGACCAGGGAUCAAUUCAAUAAGAUCAUCAUUACUUACUAAAACCUUUUCACAGGGUUUUAAUUUCUUCCUCUCGCCGUCGCCGGAAGACCUAAUAACCACUGGAUUCGUUCCUUCCUACCCAAAAGACACAAACUUGAUAUGAUUAAUGUGACCUGGCGAUGAAAAGUUUGAUUUUUUUUUGGUUUGAUUGUUUAUAGAUUUACCACAGACAAGGACACUGAGCCAGACGUAGAAACGAUGAUGGUGAUGUGUUUGCGGCUGAGACGUUUAUCAGCGAUUGAAACGUUGCCACGGCCAAUGAUGUUUGGACCUUCAGAUAAAGUUAUCCUCGGAGAUGACUCGUCUUCCUUCAAAUCUGCUUUCAGUGGGAUCAAAUACGCAACCUAUAAUAACAGAUACAACGACAAAUCAGAGUAAUGCAUCGAAAUUGCAGUCAUUGGAAAAAACGAAAAUUAGGGUUUUGUGUUGAAUUACCUGAGAGUGAGCCAUUAAGGAAGACAAGUGUCUGAGCUUGAAGUGAGCUGAGGAAGAAGAAGAAGAAGAGGAAGCAAAACGCAGCGUUUUAGUGAACCCAAAACACUGGAUGGGAUCAAGUAAGAAGUUGGCGAAAAUUUUUGGGUGUUUCAAUGGGGAAGUAAGUAAGAAUUUAAUCAACAAACUCAUUGUAACGGUAACGGUUCUCACGCCGGCGGCGACAAUCACCACCGCAUCAUCAUCACGGUGGCUCUUUGUCUUGUCUAAUUAUACGCUUAUUCAAGGCUUGUAGUCAUCAUAGUCUGGGUGGUGUAGUCGGUUAUCACGCUAGUCUCACACACUAGAGGUCCCCGGUUCGAACCCGGGCUCAGACAUUUAUUUUUAUUUUCCAUAUUUUUUUUGCAUUGACUAAUAGUGUGUACAUUGUUACUUUAUCAGAGUUAUUAAAAAAGCCAUUAUACUCAAUCAAUAACUAGAUAGACCUUGUAUUUAUCUAUAUAUUCCACGUUAUACUAAUUUCCUUUUACAAACUUGUAUACAUCUGCGUCAUUACUUCAAAUAUCAAUAUACACAUUAGUAACCACCAUAAUGUCGUAAGCGAGUUAAGCUUGUUUAAUUGAGUAGUAAGCAGUAAGCACGGUCCUGAAUCCACCUUCCCCUCAGACGCACAUUAUAUUCGAAAAAGUAUAAAAAAUAUGGGAUCAAAAGAACAACUAUAUAUCUCGCAAUUACGUUGAAAUGUUACAAUCAAAUAGAGUGUGACUGGAUUUGGAUGAACAUGUUGCAAAUUGUUACGGGGACAAAAUAAUUGAUGUGAUGUUGAUCAAGUCCAAAUCUUAUUAAACUAUGUUGUGUAACUCCAAAACGUUUUGUAAGAUACUGUCAAAAGGAUAUUAAUUAAUUAUGUUAAAGACAUAUGUAUUAUAUAUUUUUGCCCUCUCCGAGUCCUAGCUACCGUAUCAUUGUCACUUUGUCAGUUUAGAAGUCCACUAUCAUCUUACAAGCUAUAUCGCUCAUUGUUAAUUCUCCUACCUACCAGCCAUUGUCUACGUGUUUAAUAGAUUAGAUAUGGACGGCUUAUGUUUACAUUUUAAUUGUAUACUUGACGUAUAUUAUAGUUUUUCUUGCAGUUUACUUGUCAAUUUCAGAAUAGUUAUCGACAAAUUAUCAUUAUUCGUCGAUCGUUGUUAAGUGUUUUUAUUCAAUCCAUUUAAACACCUAGUUGACUUAAAGAUCAGAAGAUUACCAAAUUCAAAGAACUUUUAAGUUUCUGUUAGUUAUUAUUUUUCCUUUUUAAAAUUAUUUGGCAGCCAUUUUCUGGUGAGAUUUGUAAUAAUAUACAUCAAGAAAGCCGUUAACUCACACAAAAAUUAUAAUUAAUAUUCCACAAACAAUUCUAUAUAAUUAAUUCAAGAAAUUUACAAAAACAUUCCACACCUUGCUCUUUAAAACUCAAUGCUGUAACCACGACCACUUGUAUUUAAACUUAAACUAUACAGUACUUUUAACUUCCGUGAUAUUAAUUGUGACUUAAGUAGGCUAGUAUAAAUAACAUCACACCAAUCUUUAUGUCAAUUAGUACUAGUAGCAUCAAGCAUCGACCAAAAGAGAAGCUAAUAACAAUAUGGCGGCUUUGAGGAUGACUAUCUCUUGUGUCAUGUUCCUUCAAUUACUAUCGUGCUUGCUCUCUUCAUUUGCUCCAACCAAUGUGCAAGGAUUGAAAGUUGGGUUCUACGACAAGGCAUGCCCAAAAGCUGAGCUUAUUGUCAAGAAGGUUGUCUUCGAGGCAAUGAAGAAGGACCCGACACUUGGAGCUCCUUUGCUAAGAAUGUUUUUCCAUGAUUGCUUCGUUCGGGUAAUGUCCUCAAUAUCCAUUUCGUCUUUUUGGGGCACUUAAUCGAUCUAAUUAUUGAAUCAUGAUGUAUUAGGGAUGUGAAGGGUCAGUCUUGCUAGAGCUAAAGAACAAACAAGAUGAGAAAAACUCAAUCCCUAACCUCACCCUUAGAGGGUUUGAGAUCAUAGACAAUGCAAAGGCAGCUCUAGAAAAGGAGUGUCCGGGCAUUGUUUCUUGCUCUGAUGUGUUGGCUAUUGUCGCUAGGGAUGCAAUGGUUGCGGUAAGUAUAAAGCUUUUUAGUAUCAAGCGUUACUGAUCUAAUAUUUGGUCGAACUCACGGUAUCUUUAGUACACACCCUCCUUUACAUGGUGAUUAUAAACUCCAUAAAUUAGGUUGGACGCACUCUUUUUUUUUUUUUCUUUUAAUGCUACAAAAUGCACUUGACGUAAACUCCGAGAGACUACUAGUUCAGGUUUACGUUUGAGAUUUUCUGAAUGGUCAUAAAGAAAAUCCAUAGAAUCUGUUAUAUGUGAUAUGUUGGAUUUUUAAGACUUGUGAUAUACCAAUUAAUAUAUAUUCAGCUCAAUGGACCGUCAUGGGAGGUUGAAACAGGAAGAAGAGACGGUAUAGUUACAAACAUCAGUGAGGCCCUAUUAAACCUACCAUCACCAUUUGCUAAUAUCAGUAGCCUUAUCACUCAAUUCCAAUCCAAAGGCCUGGACAAGAAAGACCUCGUUGUGCUUUCAGGUAUAUGUGUUAUAGAAUCAGAAAACUCAUUAGUUAUGCUUGACCUGAAAGUUAGAAAAGCAGUCUCCAAUCAAUUUUUUUUAGAUUAAAAAAUCCCAUAUAUACCUUAUUCAGAUUUUGAAACGUAGAAAGAACAACUCAUUCACUUUUUCGAUAUUUCACAAGCUUUUAUAUUUCAUUCUCAGUUUCCUCCUUUUUCCCAAGCAUUGUUUGUUAUUUUAGACUUUUAAAAUAGCAACUAGCAAGAAUACUCUGGUCUUCUAUGAUAUAAUCUUAGGUUUGGCUUGGGAUAUCCACUUAUAAUAUAAUAAAAAUAAAUUCAUUCUCAACUUAUUUUUAUAUAUUUUAUUUACAUUUUGAUAGGUGGACACACAAUAGGUAACGGACACUGCCCUCAAAUCACAAACCGGCUCUACAAUUUCACCGGGAAAGGAGAUAGUGAUCCAAACUUAGACACGAAAUACGCAGCCGCCCUUAGAAAAAAAUGCAAGCCAACUGAUACCACGACGGCUUUAGAAAUGGAUCCAGGAAGCUUUAAAACGUUUGACGGGAGCUACUUCAAGCUUGUGUCUCAAAGAAGAGGGUUGUUUCAAUCUGAUGCAGCUCUUUUAGACAAUCAAGAAACUAAGUCUUAUCUUCUCAAGCAAAUGAAUAGUGACGGGUACUCUACUUUCUUUGAAGACUUUGGUGUUUCUAUGGUAAAGAUGGGUCGGAUUGGGGUCUUAACAGGUGAAGUUGGACAAGUUCGCAAGAAAUGCAGAAUGGUUAACUAAUUAAGUAUAGUAAUAUGCAUGUGAGAUUGUGUUAUGACUAUCAUAUUACGUUUGUGUGUGUGUGUGUUUUUUUUCCUAAGGAAUAAUGUGUGUAAUAUAAUCAUGUGUAUUGUACAUUUGUACAAUAUAAUGGAAGGUUAAAUUGUAAAAUCCGACUAUGCCAAGUUUUUCUUUCAAAUUGAUUACAUCUUUGUACUGAUAUUAUUCUAAGAUUUACUGAACUUUUGCAUGGUAUUCAAAUAUAUACAGUGAACGAUUAGUAAAAUAGCUAGUGAAAAGAAUAUCCACGUUCAUCAUCAUCCAAAAGAAUAUUAUUUGAUUUUCCUUUAAUUUAUAUAAAAUAUAUAAUUUGUUUUUUAAUAGGCUAUAUAUCAUCAUAUAUCCAAUGUUGGUUUUUCAGCUUUGUAGUAAAAAUUGUUGCAUUAUAUCAUUGGCAGCUAACUAGAAAAUAAAGUUGUAACUUGUAAAUAAUUUUGCAUUUGAAGAUCUUAUCAUUAAUGUAAUUAAGCUGUAUUAUGUUGUUGUUCCCCUACCAUAUCAUUGUUAUAACUUAGACUCGGAAUAUGCAGCCAGGCUAAGAAGAAAAUGUAAGCUACUUCAAGCGGGUGUCUCAGAGAAGAGGGUUGUUUCGAUCAAGAUGCAGCUUCUUUUAAACAACCACGAAACCAAGUCUUACGUUCUCAAGCAAAUUAAACGUAGCCACGGUUCUAGUUUCGUUAAGGACGUUGGUGUCUCUAUAUAUAGUGAAGAUGGGUCGGAUUGAAGUUUUAACAGGUCGGGCCGGGGAGGUUCGCAAGAAGUGCAGAAUGGUACGUUAACUAAGUUAUGAGAUUGUGUUAUUCUUAUUUGUGGUUUUUUCCUAAGCAAUAUUGCUGAAAAGUCUGCCACUAUUUAUGGAAGAGUCUUUAUUUGUUGCGUUUUGUUUUUCUACCAUCUUUGGAAUUAACUUUUCCUUUGUAAUUUGCCAUUUAAAAAAAAAAAAAAUUCAUGUAGCUUUAUUUUAAUUUAACUGUAUCGGAACUAAUAAAAUAAUUGAAGAAUAUCACAAAAAUCUAUUUUGGUCAAAUAGACAAAAACUAUAUUUACAACUUUCCGGUAAGCAUCAAUAUAUUUUUUUCUGUUAGGAAUAAGUGAGGCAAAUUUUUAAAUAAUAAUAUUAAUUUUGGGUAAUUUUAAAUUUUAAUCGAAUAACACCAAAAUUUUAACCAUAAUUAUAACAGAAUAUCUACUAACACUAGAUUUUUUUUUUUUUUUAGUAGUCUGUUAUUAAAAUAAAAAUGUAAUCAAUAAUAAAAACAAAAAGAAACAAUAAAAAAUAACAGAGCAUUAAAAUAAAACAGGGCCUCACCCUAAACCUCUACAAUCCUUUUCAGUAGUACGAUCCUGCAACUAUGGCGGACUUCCGAGAACAAGAUAAAAAGUGAGUCAUCCGUCUUUUGUGAGUUGUGACACUACAUGCAAUCUCUUUAGCUACGGAAUUGGCUUUCAGUGGUAACAUUAGAUUUUACUGCAUAAUUUAUAAAAAUGAUUGAAUAGUUCGGAUUUAUAAAUUUAAAUUUAUUACAUGAUUGAAUAAUAUAUCCCUAAACAUCAUUAUCAUUCUACUCAUAAUAAAAAAACUUACACAAUGUGAGGUAUUGAAAUCCUUAAAAAAAAACUGCAGAUUAAUUGUUACAAAAGAGGAAGACUUUGAAACCGGAGACUUUAGGAAAAAAACAAAAGAAAACUUUCGAAUACGACUACCUUAGAUUAGACCUUGUUUUAUUCUCCGUGAUACAAAAGCCAAGCGAAUUGUGGGUAAAUAAACACUAUAGUUAAUGAGCAUCACUCAAGUUUUAUCAUAUCCCAGUGACGACUUAAUAAGCAUCACUCAAGUUUUAUCAUCAGCACCCACAAGUCUCUUCAUUCUUGACUAAUAUUCACUAGCUAUAUAUAAUUCAAUAAAUGAACAAAACAAUCCACAUCUUGCUCUUUAACCUACAAUGCUGUAAGGCACGACCAAUUGUAUUAUAACUUAAACUACUUUUAACUUCCGUGAAAUUAAUUAUUACUUAAGUAACCACUAGUAUAUAUAAAUAACGACACCAAUCUUUAUGUCAAUUAGUACUAGUAGCAUCAAGCCUCGAUCAAAAGAGAAGCUGAUAACAAUAUGGCUGCUUUGAGGAUGACUAUCUCUUGUGUCAUCCUCCUUCAAGUACUAUCGUGCUUGCUCUCUUCAUUUGCUCCAACCAAUGUGCAAGGAUUGAAAGUUGGGUUCUACGACAAGGCAUGCCCGAAAGCUGAGCUCAUUGUCAAGAAGUUUGUCUUCGAGGCAAUGAAGAAGGACCCGACACUUGGAGCUCCUUUGCUAAGAUUGUUUUUCCAUGAUUGCUUCGUUCGGGUAAUAUCCUCAAUAUCCAUUUCGUCUUUUUGGGGAACUUUAUCGAUCUAAUGACUGAAUCAUGCAUGGUAAUUUAGGGAUGCGAAGGGUCAGUCUUGCUAGAGCUAAAGAACAAAAAAGAUGAGAAAAACGCAAUGCCCAACCUCAGCCUUCGAGGGUUUGAGAUCAUAGACAAUGCCAAGGCAGCUCUAGAAAAGGAGUGUCCGGGCAUUGUUUCUUGCUCUGAUGUGUUGGCUAUUGUCGCUAGGGAUGCAAUGGUUGCGGUAAGUAUAGAGUUUUACUAUCAGUUUAUAGUGGAUCUAAUAUUUGGUCGAGCUCACGGUAUCUUUAUUACACCCUUCCUUUUUUUUUUUUGCGCUUAGUAAAAAUUUCACAUGGCGAUUAUAGACUCCAUAAAUUAUGUUGGACGCAUAUAAUCCAUAAAUCUGUUGUAUAUGUAAUUUGUUAGAUUUUAAAGAUUGUAUACUUUUAUGAUAUACCAAUCAAUAUAUAUUCAGCUCAAUGGACCGUCGUGGGAGGUUGAAACAGGAAGAAGAGACGGUCUGGUUACAAACAUGUAUGAGGCCCUAUCAAACCUACCAUCACCACUUAGUAAUAUCAGUAGCCUUAUCACUCGAUUCCAUUCCAAAGGCCUGGACAAGAAAGACCUCGUUGUGCUUUCAGGUUUGUUAUAGAAUUAGAAAUUAAAUUCACAAAUCAUACCUGAACCAUGCAUCAAAAUAAAAUAAAAAAAGUACAGUGUUUUUUGGAACAAACAAGAAACCAGAUAAAAACUCAUUAACAAAGAACAAAAUUUAUAAAUUGGUUUUGUCCGACAUUUGAUAGAAUUGACUUGAAAAAAAUUAGAAAGGCAGUCUUCAGUCAAAUUUUUUGAGAUUGAAAAAGACCAUAGUUUGUAUCAUAUUCACUUUCUUGAUAUUUCACUAGCUUUUAUAUGAGAAGAAUUUAUUCUUUUAUUCUCAUUUUUCUCCUUUUUCCAAGCAUUUGUUUUUGUUUUUUUUUGCUAUUUUAGACUUUUAAAAUAGCAACUAGCAAGAAUACUCUGGUCUACUACAUAAUUUGUAGAUUAAUCUUAGUUUUGGCUUGGGAUAUCCAGUUAUAAAAUAAAUAAAAGUAUAACCAUUCUCAAAUCAACUUAUUUGUAUAUACUUACAUUAUAAUAGGUGGACACACACUAGGGAAAGGACAUUGUCCUCAAAUCAGAAACCGGCUCUACAACUUCACCGGGAAAGGAGAUAGUGACCCAAACUUAGACACGAAAUACGCAGCCAAACUCAGAAAUAAAUGCAAGCCAACUGACAACACGAUGGCAUUAGAGAUGGAUCCAGGAAGCUUUAAAACGUUCGAUGUGAGCUACUUUAAGCGUGUGUCUCAAAGAAGAGGGUUGUUUCAAUCAGAUGCAGCUCUUUUAGACAAUCAAGAGACCAAGUCUUAUCUUCUCAAGCAAAUGAAUAGUGAUGGCUCUACUUUCUUUAAAGACUUUGGUGUCUCUAUGGUAAAGAUGGGUCGGAUUGGGGUUUUAACGGGAAAGGUUGGGCAAGUUCGCAAAAAAUGCAGAAUGGUUAAUUAAUUAAGUGUUAGGUAUAUGUCUGUGAGAUUGUGUUGUGUUACGUUUGUUUCCUAAAGAAUAAAGUGUGUACCUAUCAAAAAAGUAUACUGUGUGUAAUCAUGUGUAUUGUAACAAUUAAGUGUUUAAACUGUAAAAUCAGAUUAUGUCAAGUUUUUCUUUCUAAUUGAUUUUAUAUACAGUAUAUAUAUAUAUUUAGAGUUUCGUUUAUCUGCCAUCUUAAUUUGGAGCUUAUAGAAUAAAUUAAGAUUUCAACUUUAAAUGAGUCGAACUUAUCGUCAAUGUUUUAAAUAUUUUAUUUUGAAUCUAACAUUUAUUUAGUAGGUGGCACAUUGAUUUUGGAACUUUUGUUGUUCUUAACCUCUAAUAGUCGGUCGAGAAAUUGUCUACGUAUACAUUUUUUUUUUUGAGUACGUAUGUAAAUGUAUCAUAAUUCAUAUGCAGUAAAAAGAUAAUGGAGCAUAAAGUUUCAAGGAUCUGAUAAUAUAUACAUUCACGGUUUAUAUACACAUGACAAGUUGUGACCUGAUAAAAAGAAAAAAAAAAAGGAAAAAAAAAAAGACUCUUAUAGUAUCUUUAAGAAACAAAAAAGUUCAAGGAAAAUUAAAAAAAAAAAAAAAAAAAACAGAGAAGUAGAAAG
RNAcentral lists this long non-coding RNA (17538 nucleotides) under Capsella rubella. RNAcentral's name for it is "long non-coding RNA (CRUB_LNC001971)". The stretch from base 9897 to 9970 matches the Rfam family "tRNA". Lineage: Eukaryota; Viridiplantae; Streptophyta; Magnoliopsida; Brassicales; Brassicaceae. The record is from RNAcentral.